AGAGUUUGAUCAUGGCUCAGGAUGAACGUUGGCGGUGUGCUAAUACAUGCAAGUCGAACGGUGGUUAUUUGUAGUAAUACGAAGUGAUCAUAGUGGCGAACGGGUGAGUAACGCGUUGGUGAUCUGCCUCGAAGUGUGGAAUAACGUUCCGAAAGGAACGCUAAUACCGCAUGUGCUCUCGAUUUUUAGAAAGUUGAGAGUAAAGGAUUUAUUCGCUUCGAGAGGAGCCUGCGUCCCAUCAGCUAGUUGGUAGGGUAAUAGCCUACCAAGGCUUUGACGGGUAGGGGACCUGAGAGGGUGGCCCCCCACAAUGGAACUGAAACACGGUCCAUACACCUACGGGUGGCAGCAGUAGGGAAUAUUAGAAAUGGACGAAAGUCUGAUCUAGCGACACCGCGUGUGCGAUGAAGGCCUUCGGGUUGUAAAGCACUUUUUGGAAGGAGUAGGAAGGAAGGUACUUCCAGAAUAAGUCUCGGCUAACUACGUGCCAGCAGCCGCGGUAACACGUAGGAGGCAAACGUUAUCCGGAUUUACUGGGCGUAAAGCGCGUGUAGGUGGUUCUGUAAGUAGGGCGUGAAAGCUCCCGGCUCAACUGGGAGAGGCCGUUCUAAACUGCAGAGCUAGAGGAUGGUAGAGGGAGGUGGAAUUCCAGGUGUAGCGGUGGAAUGCGCAGAUAUCUGGAGGAACACCAGUGGCAAAAGCGGCCUCCUGGACCAUUCCUGACACUCAGACGCGAAAGCUAGGGUAGCAAACGGGAUUAGAGACCCCGGUAGUCCUAGCCCUAAACGAUGUAGACUAGACGUCGGCGGUGUAAUAGCUGUCGGUGUCCAAGCUAACGCGAUAAGUCUACCGCCUGGGGACUACGGCCGCAAGGUUAAAACUCAAAGGAAUUGACGG
RNAcentral lists this ribosomal RNA (897 nucleotides) under uncultured bacterium. RNAcentral describes it as "bacterial SSU rRNA". It matches the Rfam family "Bacterial small subunit ribosomal RNA", at positions 8 to 916 of the family's 1533-position model. The record is from RNAcentral.